RNAcentral lists this ribosomal RNA (403 nucleotides) under uncultured eukaryote. Its description in RNAcentral is "SSU rRNA". It matches the Rfam family "Eukaryotic small subunit ribosomal RNA", at positions 567 to 981 of the family's 1831-position model. The record is from RNAcentral.
CCAGCAGCCGCGGUAAUUCCAGCUCCAAUAGCGUAUAUUAAAGUUGUUGCAGUUAACAAGCUCGUAGUUGAAUUUCUGGUAGGGUGCCAAUGUCCGCCGCCGUGAGUGCGCAGCGGCGCCCUUCCAUCCUUCUGUCAACGCUUCUUGGCAUUCGUUUGCUGGUUGCGGGCUCAGAUAUUUUACCUUGAGAAAAUUAGAGUGUUUCAGGCAGGCUAGGCCGGAAUACAUUAGCAUGGAAUAAUGGAAUAGGACUACGGUCUCUUUGUUCGUUUGAGGGACUGCAGUAAUGAUUAAUAGGGAUAGUUGGGGGCAUUAGUAUUUAAUUGUCAGAGGUGAAAUUCUCGGAUUUGUUAUAGACUAACUUAUGCGAAAGCAUUUGCCAAGGAUGUUUUCAUUAAUCAAG